CUCCCUAUGUAUUCAAGGCUGGUCUGGAUCUCCGUGCCUCUGUCUCCCACAUGUUGGGAUGACAGGCGUGACCCACAACUCCCAGCCCAUCUGUGUUCACUCCCCAGGCCGAGCUCUCCUGUCCACCUUCUCUCUCUACGCCUUUAGUGCUCCGACCCUACACUCUCUUUAAACAAGCAGGAAAAUGAAUAAACUAAUUCACAAUAA
Long non-coding RNA from Peromyscus eremicus (cactus mouse), 207 nucleotides. RefSeq lists it as uncharacterized. The record is from RefSeq and is a predicted model, not a curated record. Lineage: Eukaryota; Metazoa; Chordata; Mammalia; Rodentia; Cricetidae. The transcript is spliced from 2 exons.